Molecule: transfer RNA, 75 nt
Filed under: Bradyrhizobium sp.
Lineage: Bacteria; Pseudomonadati; Pseudomonadota; Alphaproteobacteria; Hyphomicrobiales; Nitrobacteraceae
Also listed under: 59 other names
Description: tRNA-Gly
Rfam family: tRNA
About the family: Transfer RNA (tRNA) molecules are approximately 80 nucleotides in length.
Source: RNAcentral
GCGGGUGUAGCUCAGUGGUAGAGCACGACCUUGCCAAGGUCGGGGUCGAGGGUUCGAACCCCUUCGCCCGCUCCA